AGUGAACGCUGGCGGCAGGCCUAACACAUGCAAGUCGAACGGACGCACAGUAAGAGCUUGCCCUUACGGUUGGCGGGUGGCGGACGGGUGAGGCAUACAUCGCCAUCCACUUUUUCUUGGGGGAUAUCGGAGGGACGCUUCCGCUAAUAGCGCAUACGAUGAACGGCUGAAUGCAGAAGUUCUUCGCGCCUUUCGUGACACAAAGAGCCGAUGUCGGAUUAGCUAGUUGGCGAGGUAAGGGAACACCAAGGCGACGAUCCGUAGCUGGUCUGAGAGGAUGAUCGGCCACACUGGAACUGAGACACGGUCCAGACUCCUACGGGAGGCAGCAGUGGGGAAUAUUGGACAAUGGGCGCAAGCCUGAUCCAGCCACGCCGCGUGAGUGAAGAAGGCCUUCGGGUUGUAAAGCCCUUUUGUUAGGAAAGAACAUCUGCGUGUGAAUAUGCGGCUGUUUUGACGGUACCCAAAGAAAAAGCACCGGCUAACUACGUG
Molecule: ribosomal RNA, 492 nt
Filed under: uncultured bacterium
Lineage: Bacteria
Description: partial 16S ribosomal RNA
Rfam family: Bacterial small subunit ribosomal RNA
Source: RNAcentral